RNAcentral lists this ribosomal RNA (466 nucleotides) under uncultured Desulfobulbus sp. Its description in RNAcentral is "bacterial SSU rRNA". It matches the Rfam family "Bacterial small subunit ribosomal RNA", at positions 921 to 1382 of the family's 1533-position model. Lineage: Bacteria; Pseudomonadati; Thermodesulfobacteriota; Desulfobulbia; Desulfobulbales; Desulfobulbaceae. The record is from RNAcentral.
CCGCACAGCGGUGGAGUAUGUGGUUUAAUUCGAUGCAACGCGAAGAACCUUACCUGGUCUUGACAUCCCGGAGACCCUUAGGAAACUAGGGGGUGCUUCCAUCUGGAAGAAUCUGGAGACAGGUGCUGCAUGGCUGUCGUCAGCUCGUGUCGUGAGAUGUUGGGUUAAGUCCCGCAACGAGCGCAACCCUUGCCUUUAGUUGCCAGCAGUUCGGCUGGGCACUCUAAAGGGACUGCCGGUGUUAAACCGGAGGAAGGUGGGGAUGACGUCAAGUCCUCAUGGCCUUUAUGACCAGGGCUACACACGUACUACAAUGGCCGAUACAAAGGGCAGCGACACUGCGAGGUGAAGCCAAUCCCGUAAAAUCGGUCUCAGUCCGGAUUGGAGUCUGCAACUCGACUCCAUGAAGUUGGAAUCGCUAGUAAUCGUGGAUCAGCAUGCCACGGUGAAUACGUUCCCGGGCCUU